RNAcentral lists this long non-coding RNA (396 nucleotides) under Rattus norvegicus (Norway rat). Its description in RNAcentral is "long non-coding RNA NONRATT006898". The record is from RNAcentral. Lineage: Eukaryota; Metazoa; Chordata; Mammalia; Rodentia; Muridae.
CUCACAUUUAAGGUGUUCAGGGUGGAGUUUUAAUAUGUAUGGUGUUUUACGUCAACGAAGUGGAAGUUUCUCUUCUGGUCUUGUUGCUUUACGACGGAACGUAGACUAAGUCAUUCCACGAGGGCCUCCCUUCUGUCCGCACCAGCCACUUCAUUCAGCAAACAUUUGGGAGCUAGCGAGGUGAGCCAUGUGCUGGGGCAGGUUGGGAGAAAUGGUCACUUCUUAUCUUUAUGGAAUGCUUCCUGGUUAGUCCAAUGUUCUUACGUGCCUCGUGAUCUCAUCUGGAUUCCCCAGCAGUUGUGCGUGCGUGCAUGCGUGCGUGCGUGCGUGCUUCUGCCUGCCUGCCUGCCUUUACCUUGGGGUAAGGAACCUGAGCUUUCGUUGACUUACUUAGGU